RNAcentral lists this ribosomal RNA (253 nucleotides) under uncultured bacterium. RNAcentral describes it as "partial 16S ribosomal RNA". It matches the Rfam family "Bacterial small subunit ribosomal RNA", at positions 524 to 776 of the family's 1533-position model. The record is from RNAcentral.
UACGUAGGGGGCAAGCAUUGUCCGGAAUUAUUGGGCGUAAAGAGCGCGUAGGCGGUCCGAUAAGUCGGCUGUGAAAGUCCAGGGCUCAACCCUGGAAAGCCGGCCGAUACUGUCGGACUAGAGUCCGGAAGAGGCAAGUGGAAUUCCCGGUGUAGCGGUGAAAUGCGCAGAUAUCGGGAGGAACACCAGUGGCGAAGGCGGCUACCUGGACUGACACUGACGCUGAGGCGCGAGAGCGUGGGGAGCAAACAGG